This 433-nucleotide ribosomal RNA is filed under the name uncultured bacterium. RNAcentral describes it as "partial 16S ribosomal RNA". It matches the Rfam family "Bacterial small subunit ribosomal RNA", at positions 29 to 507 of the family's 1533-position model. The record is from RNAcentral.
AACGAACGCUGGCGGCAUGCCUAACACAUGCAAGUCGAACGAGACCUUCGGGUCUAGUGGCGCACGGGUGCGUAACGCGUGGGAACCUGCCCUUAGGUUCGGAAUAACUCUCCGAAAGGGGUGCUAAUACCGGAUAAUGUCUUCGGACCAAAGAUUUAUCGCCUUUGGAUGGGCCCGCGUUGGAUUAGCUAGUUGGUAGGGUAAAAGCCUACCAAGGCGACGAUCCAUAGCUGGUCUGAGAGGAUGAUCAGCCACACUGGGACUGAGACACGGCCCAGACUCCUACGGGAGGCAGCAGUGGGGAAUAUUGGACAAUGGGCGAAAGCCUGAUCCAGCAAUGCCGCGUGAGUGAUGAAGGCCUUAGGGUUGUAAAGCUCUUUUACCCGGGAUGAUAAUGACAGUACCGGGAGAAUAAGCUCCGGCUAACUGCGUG